GACGAACGCUGGCGGCGUGCUUAACACAUGCAAGUCGAACGGAAAGGCCCUGCUUUUGUGGGGUGCUCGAGUGGCGAACGGGUGAGUAACACGUGGGUAACCUGCCCUUCACUUUGGGAUAAGUUCAGGAAACUGGGGCUAAUACCGGAUAUGAGCUCCCGCCGCAUGGGGUGGGUUGGAAAGUUUCGGCGGGUGGGGAUGGACUCGCGGCUUAUCAGCUUGUUGGUGGGGUAGUGGCUUACCAAGGCUUGGACGGGUAGCCGGCCUGAGAGGGUGACCGGCCACAUUGGGACUGAGAUACGGCCCAGACUCCUACGGGAGGCAGCAGUGGGGAAUAUUGCACAAUGGGCGGAAGCCUGAUGCAGCAACGCCGCGUGCGGGAUGACGGCCUUCGGGUUGUAAACCGCUUUCGCCUGUGACGAAGCGUGAGUGACGGUAAUGGGUAAAGAAGCACCGGCUAACUACGUG
Molecule: ribosomal RNA, 468 nt
Filed under: uncultured bacterium
Lineage: Bacteria
Description: partial 16S ribosomal RNA
Rfam family: Bacterial small subunit ribosomal RNA
Source: RNAcentral